Molecule: long non-coding RNA, 349 nt
Filed under: Coturnix japonica (Japanese quail)
Lineage: Eukaryota; Metazoa; Chordata; Aves; Galliformes; Phasianidae
Description: lncRNA (ENSCJPG00005002101.1)
Source: RNAcentral
GUGGAACCCUAUGGGGGAGGUUAUAGGGUCACCCCAUAGGGAUGUCGUCUAUGGGGUCACAGCUGUGGUACCCUGUGGGGACAUGAUCUAUAGGGUCACCCCAUGGGGACGUCAUCUAUGGGGUCAUAGAUGUGGUACCCCAUGGGGACAUGAUAUAUAGGGUCACCCCAUAGGUAUGUCAUCUAUAGGGUCACCCCAUAGGGAUGUCAUCUAUAGGGUCACCCCAUGGGGAUGUCGUCUAUGGGGUCAUAGAUGUGGUACCCCAUGGGGACAUGAUCUAUAGGGUCACCCCAUGGUGAUGUCGUCUAUGGGGUCAUAGCUGAGGGAACCCCAUAGGGGACAGCUGCGG